GACGAACGCUGGCGGCGUGCUUAACACAUGCAAGUCGAACGGUAAGGCCCUGCUUUUGUUGGUGGCUCGAGUGGCGAACGGAUGAGUAACACGUGAGUAACCUGCCCUGGACUUUGGUAUAACUUCACGGCACUGGGGCUAGUACCGGAUAGGAGCUCCUGCUGCAUGGUGGUGGUUGGACAGGUGCGGCGGUUGGGUCUGGACUUGCGGGGUAUCAGGUUGUUGGUGGGGUAGUGGCUUACCAAGGCUUUGACGGGUAGCCGGCCUGAGAGGGUGACCGGCACCAUGGGGACUGCGACGCGGGGCAGAAGCGGACGGGAGGGAGCAGUGGGGAAUAGUGCACAACGGGGGGGAGGCGGAUGCAGCAACGCCGCGUGGGGGAUGAAGGCCUUUGGGUAGUAAAGCGGGUUUGCCUGGGAUGAAGCGGGAGUGACGGUAACGGGUAAAGAAGCACCGGCUAACUACGUG
This 468-nucleotide ribosomal RNA is filed under the name uncultured bacterium. RNAcentral's name for it is "partial 16S ribosomal RNA". It matches the Rfam family "Bacterial small subunit ribosomal RNA", at positions 28 to 507 of the family's 1533-position model. The record is from RNAcentral.